This 498-nucleotide ribosomal RNA is filed under the name uncultured archaeon. Its description in RNAcentral is "bacterial SSU rRNA". It matches the Rfam family "Bacterial small subunit ribosomal RNA", at positions 899 to 1397 of the family's 1533-position model. The record is from RNAcentral.
ACUCAAAGGAAUUGACGGGGGCCCGCACAAGCGGAGGAACAUGUGGUUUAAUUCGAUGAUACGCGAGGAACCUUACCCGGGCUUGAAAUGCAUCUGACGUAUUCGGAAACGGAUAUUCCCUACGGGGCAGAUGUGUAGGUGCUGCAUGGUUGUCGUCAGCUCGUGCCGUGAGGUGUCGGCUUAAGUGCCAUAACGAGCGCAACCCUCAUCGUCAGUUACCAUCAGGUAAAGCUGGGGACUCUGGCGAGACUGCCAUCGUAAGAUGCGAGGAAGGUGGGGAUGACGUCAAAUCAGCACGGCCCUUACGUCCGGGGCGACACACGUGUUACAAUGGGUGGUACAAAGGGCAGCUACCUGGCGACAGGAUGCUAAUCUCCAAAACCACUCUCAGUUCGGAUCGGAGUCUGCAACUCGACUCCGUGAAGCUGGAUUCGCUAGUAAUCGCGCAUCAGCCACGGCGCGGUGAAUACGUUCCCGGGCCUUGCACACACCGCCCGU